This is a non-coding RNA of Trichomonas vaginalis G3, 1027 nucleotides long. Lineage: Eukaryota; Parabasalia; Trichomonadida; Trichomonadidae. The record is from Rfam.
CAGGUUGAAGUCAGGGGAAACUCUGAUGGAGGACCGUACGGGUUAUUGAUGUGCAAAUCAUUUUUCUGAUGUAGGUAAAGGUGCGAAAGACUCAUCGAACCACCUAAUAGCUGGUUUCCUCCGAAGUUUCCCUCAGGAUAGCUGUAAUGCAUUUAGUUAAGGGGAGUAGAGAUAUGGGUAGAGGUGCAGGGAGCCUUCGGGUUCUCAACUUAUUUCCAAACUUCGAACCUCCUUGUUAGGCAUUUACCUAACUGGAAAUGCUUAAAUGAAUUAGCGUUACAAGUGGGCUCUGACCGGUAAGCGGUCAUGGCGAAAUGGGAUGAACCAUACGUCUGAAUAAGGUGCCGAAAUGUACUAUCACUGAUACCAUAAAGGGAGUCCAUGUAUUUAGACAGCAGGUCGGUGCCCCUAAAAGCAGGUAUCCGCUAAAGAGUGUGUUAAAACUCACCUGCCGAAUACUAGGGCCCCGAAAAUGAAUGGCGCAUAUAGUACUACCGAUCUCAGACAUCAGUUCUAUUGAACUGAGAGUAGGGGGAUGUGGACAUUUUUGUGAAGGUGCAAUGUGAGUUGGACUGGAAGAAUGUCUAUUACAGAUCCUAAUUGAAGUAGCGAUUAUCCAGGCUUGUAUCCUGGGGGCUGAUGAGGAGUAGGGUUUCUGGACAACUUAAACAGAUCCAGAGUUAGUCGAUCCUAAUCUCAAUAAUGGGAGAAAGGGAGUACAGUUGAUAUUCUGUAACUGACAACAGUUCGCGGCAACGCAUACUAUUUUUCUCCGCCAAUCUUAUACCGUUGGUAGGGAUCUCUUUCCUACAUGACAGUACUAAUACCCAGGGAAACUGGUCAUCAGGCGAACUGCGGCGUUCUGCUGGCAAAACAUAGCUUCGGUUAUGUCAAUGGCUAUUGGAUUGGUCCAUGAAGCGAAAAAUAGUUUACUGUGUCACUCGUACCGAUAACCGCAUCAGGUCUUCUAGGUAAGUAGCCUAUGGGCCAUUGAGGCAUGAUAGUUCAGGAAUUCGGCCAAUUAGAC